CACACCCAAAGAAGGAGAGUGUCAUGACAGAUCAUAGGAGAGCUUGAAUGCCGUGUCUGUGUGUCUCGUGCUGUGGAGCAGAGGAUCAAAAAGGGCUUGGCCUGGCGUUGGACUGAGAAUGCAAUAAAGACAGAGGAUGGGGGAGUGAUGGACAGAUGGAGAGUACAGGAAGAGUAUAAGAAUAGAUCGAUCAAAUAAAAGAAUGUAAAAAGAACAGAAGGCAGUAAAACAUACUGAGAGGAGGAGCUGGUAUAGGAGAGAGAGAGAGAGAAAGAGAGAGAGAUAAAAAGGUAUUUGCCUGGCUGCCAAAGAAAGAAACCAAAGAUUCUCUAACUACAGAAGAGAAGAAAGAAGAGAGGAGAACAGAAGCCCUGGACUUCUCCUUGCUGUCCUGAUCUGUGGGUGUGUGAUCUCUGCACCAUGCUGGUUCCCAUCAACUUCAUUCUGCUCUUGGCGCUGUCAUGGCACCCUACGGUUGUCACGGGAGGUAGAGCACAGCGGAGACAAAGGCAAGCUGAGGAGUCGUUAAAGCCCUACCAUGGAAGAGUGGAUCCAGAGAAGUUGUGUGAGCUGCUGAAAUGUCACAGUCCAGCAGGAUCCUGGUGUCAGGUGGUGGAAGAGGCAGGGAUUCUCAUCCCAAAGUGUGUGUGUCCUCAGACUUGUCCACGCCAGGGGGUGCCAGUGUGCAGUGUUUUGGGGAAGACGUACGGAAAUGAGUGUCUACUGCAUAAAGAAUCCUGUCGCAAGAGACGUCGCAUUGGUCUCGCUCACCCUGGGACUUGUAUGGUGCCCAAGGCUCAGUGUAAAGAGGAGGAGUUUGGUCAGUUUCCCUACCGGCUGCUGGACUGGUUCUUGCUCUUGAGCCGUAUGGGGGAGAGUUAUGAUCCCAAUGCCCCCUCUCAGAGCUGCCUGAGCCGAACAGCACGCAUCCAGCUCGCCCAGGAUGGGAAAUUGAGCCGGCGGGAUCUGAAGAAGCUGCAUUAUAAAAGGAUGCCUCUGGAGCAUUGUGCCAAGAGAUUCUUCCAAUCGUGUGACAAGAACAGGAACAAGAAGGUGACCCUGAAGGAGUGGACCUCGUGCCUGGUGAAGGGGUCUGAGCGCUGGUUCCAGCAUUACAUGUCUAUGAAGAUGGGUUCUCGCAAGUUAUGUCCUACAACUGAAAGCAAUCUUUAGUUCAGCUGCAGACAAAAUAAAAACACUCUUAUGGAGGGUUAAAUCAACUCAACUAAGGUCAGUGGUGGUGUGUGAUCCCUGGUGUGUGAACAACCUCUCCAAGCGACAGGGAAUCUGUGCAUCACUCCCCCCUGGUGGUCAAGCUGUUGUAAAACAAACUAAGACAGGCUAAUUAUAUCAUUUGUUUUGCUAAAGUACACCAUACAUUAAUCUGUAUAACAAAAUGGUGUGCAAUAAAAGUCUCUUGUCCACA
This is a long non-coding RNA of Clupea harengus (Atlantic herring), 1426 nucleotides long. The record is from Ensembl. NCBI's taxonomy places the organism in Eukaryota, Metazoa, Chordata, Actinopteri, Clupeiformes, Clupeidae.